CUCAAAUGAUUUCAUGCUGACAAUUCAUUUGUGGUUUUAUUUUUAUAAUGAGAAAUCUAUUGUUUGGAGAUCGAGGAUUUAGAUAUUUCUCUUACCUACCCUUCAAUGCAUGUUUCUUUGCUUUUUCAAAAUGUUAGAUGGGAUUAAAAAGAAUUGGGGAUGAAGGGUUUUCUGAACUUUUGAUCCUCAGAUUCUCCUAUCCUCGGUAUUCUUCGAACUCCAUGAAUGUUGGUAGCAAGCAUUUCUUGUUCAUUAUGUGGUAGCCCAACUUGCUAUAGUUUUGUAGCAUGCCAAGAUUUAAAUUUUAAUACCUAUCUUCAGAUUUUUGUUUUAAGAUUUGUAUGAAGAGGCUAUGAUGACUUUGGAUUAAAUUUUAUUGAUUCAAUUAUUUUAAAUGACAGUAAUUGAUAAGUGAUAUAUUUUUACAUUUAUUGAAGAUAUUUUUGAUAAUUUAUGGUGCUAACAUCUUCUUAAAAACUUAAUUUCAUGAACAAAUUAAAUUUUUUUACAAAAAUAAAUAAUUUUAAAAAAAAUAAAAUUAAAAAAUAUUUAUGAAAAAUAGAUAUUAAUUCAAUUGAGCAAUUUAAGCAUUAAAAUGAUGAAAAAUUUUUGAAAAAAUUAAUACAUAUUUUUUUAUUUUUUAGAUAAAAAUUGGAGCAAAAAUGGAGCCAAAAUAUCCUAAAAAAUAAUUUUUAUAGCCUCCGAUGCACGGUGGACCGACCGAUCGGUCCAUGGAACUUCACGCAGUCCACAGGCACAGCUCACAGCGAGAGAAAAAUUCUGGGCGCGAUCCAACAGCUGAUAUUCAUUCUGAUCUAGAUCCGACGGUCAGUAUCCAUUAUCGAUUUAUAAGAGGGAUUUUUAUGCAAUCUGAUGGUCCAAAAGUGAUCCAUCAAGUGAUCAGACGGCUGAGGACAUUUCCAAUCUUGAAUAGGAGAUCUUUACAUGAUCCGAUGGUCAGAACUUCAUCAGAACCCAGAUCGAAUGGCUGAGAAUGAAUCUGACUGAGAGAAGAAUUAAAACUGUGGAUUUUGAUCAGAUCUAGGUGGUCUAAGCUUGAUCCGAUGGUCAGAAAUAUUCUUAAGAAGAUUAAUAUGAUUUCUAAGGAUUUUAGGACUCCUUUUUCUAUCAAAAAAAUAUGAAAAAUUCAUCUAUAAAUAGGAGGUCCAGGAAUAAGCUUUGAGAGUAGAAAAAAAUUAGUAGAAAGUGAGAAAAAAUAAAAAAAAUAAAAUAACUUUAGAGAUCUAAGAAAAAGAAGGAGAGAAGCCAGUUCGCUCUACGAAGUAUGAUGGA
RNAcentral lists this long non-coding RNA (1293 nucleotides) under Elaeis guineensis (African oil palm). RNAcentral describes it as "long non-coding RNA (EGUI_LNC007579)". The record is from RNAcentral. Lineage: Eukaryota; Viridiplantae; Streptophyta; Magnoliopsida; Arecales; Arecaceae.